Molecule: small RNA, 403 nt
Filed under: Histoplasma capsulatum var. duboisii H88
Lineage: Eukaryota; Fungi; Ascomycota; Eurotiomycetes; Onygenales; Ajellomycetaceae
Description: Histoplasma capsulatum H88 hypothetical RNA
Source: RNAcentral
CAUCAUGUCUCCGGCCAGCGCGCGGGAAUGUUUUGUUUUUCCCUUUGCCAGGACGUGAUCUUCCUCCUAUCCGCCGUACGAACAAUGCAAUUGAAGCUCUGAUAUCGUCUCUUUUUUUUUGGACCCAAGGGUUUUCUCGUUUUUCCGUUUUUUUUUUUUUACCCCCGCUGAAAUCGCCGAGGAAAGAAAAUUUCGCCCCCCCUGAUAGGAACAGGAUCUCCCGUAUCGUAAACUAACGAAGCCAAUGCAAGGGGAGGGGGAAUCUUGUUUGAAGAGUUUUGCUUUCUUUUUUCUUGUUUUUGAUUUUUGGUUUUCUCCUCUCCCCUCCCUUGCCAUCCUUUUCGGAUUUGCAAUGCACUUUGUUCCUGGACGAUAAUGGAAAAAUAAUAAUAAUAAAAAGAGA